Molecule: transfer RNA, 65 nt
Filed under: Aphaena amabilis
Lineage: Eukaryota; Metazoa; Arthropoda; Insecta; Hemiptera; Fulgoridae
Description: tRNA-Ala
Source: RNAcentral
AGGAGGAUAGUUAAAUAUAACAUUUAUAUUGCAAAUAAAAAGUAUUGGCUUAUCAAUUUCUCUUA